GAAAUGCGAUAAGUAAUGUGAAUUGCAGAAUUCAGCGAAUCAUCGAAUCUUUGAACGCACAUUGCGCCUCCGGGUAUUCCUGGAGGCAUGCUUGUUCGAGCGUCGUUAAAGACCAUAAGGCUUUGCCUUGCGAUGAGCUAUCGGUUUUUCUAUUGUUUUGAACAAUAAAAGAGUCGAUGGCUUCAAACUGAUUGGCGUCUGAAGUUUAGCCCAAGCACAGCAAAAUGUGUCUGAAAGCUAGAUGAGAAAAGACUUUGCCUUGUACACCAAAUUUUAUACAAAGGUCGACCUCGGAUCAAGCAAGAUUACCCGCUGAACUUAA
RNAcentral lists this unclassified non-coding RNA (322 nucleotides) under uncultured Sordariomycetes. RNAcentral's name for it is "sequence contains ITS1". The stretch from base 1 to 105 matches the Rfam family "5.8S ribosomal RNA", at positions 50 to 154 of the family's 154-position model. Lineage: Eukaryota; Fungi; Ascomycota; Sordariomycetes. The record is from RNAcentral.